AAGAUUGCAGUGAUGAAGCAAUUUAUUCGUGGACUAGAGUUUCUGAUCUGGGCUUCUUCUCCCAGAAGUUGAAGACUAACCCUUGGCUGUCUGAGUAAUCUU
Molecule: small nucleolar RNA, 102 nt
Organism: Hibiscus syriacus
Lineage: Eukaryota; Viridiplantae; Streptophyta; Magnoliopsida; Malvales; Malvaceae
Product: small nucleolar RNA Z157/R69/R10
Exons: 1
Source: RefSeq, a predicted model, not a curated record